GACGAACGCUGGCGGCGUGCCUAAUACAUGCAAGUAGAACGCUGAAGGAGGAGCUUGCUUCUCCGGAUGAGUUGCGAACGGGUGAGUAACGCGUAGGUAACCUGCCUGGGAGCGGGGGAUAACUAUUGGAAACGAUAGCUAAUACCGCAUAACAGUAGAUGUUGCAUGACAUUUGCUUAAAAGGUGCAAUUGCAUCACUACCAGAUGGACCUGCGUUGUAUUAGCUAGUUGGUGAGGUAACGGCUCACCAAGGCGACGAUACAUAGCCGACCUGAGAGGGGGAUCGGCCACACUGGGACUGAGACACGGCCCAGACUCCUACGGGAGGCAGCAGUAGGGAAUCUUCGGCAAUGGAGGGAAGUCUGACCGAGGAACGCCGCGUGAGUGAAGAAGGGUUUCGGAUCGUAAAGCUCUGUUGUAAGGGAAGAACAGGUGUGAGAGUGGAAAGUUCACACUGUGACGGUAUCUAACCAGAAAGGGACGGCUAACUACGUG
Molecule: ribosomal RNA, 495 nt
Filed under: uncultured bacterium
Lineage: Bacteria
Description: partial 16S ribosomal RNA
Rfam family: Bacterial small subunit ribosomal RNA
Source: RNAcentral